Molecule: ribosomal RNA, 224 nt
Filed under: uncultured bacterium
Lineage: Bacteria
Description: partial 16S ribosomal RNA
Rfam family: Bacterial small subunit ribosomal RNA
Source: RNAcentral
AGUAACACGUGGGUAACCUGCCUUAUGAGGGGGAUAACAGAGAGAAAUCACUGCUAAUACCGCAUAAGCACACAGUACCGCAUGGUACAGGGUGAAAAGAUUUAUCGCCAUAAGAUGGACCCGCGUCUGAUUAGCCAGUUGGCAGGGUAAAAGCCUACCAAAGCAACGAUCAGUAGCCGAUCUGAGAGGAUGACCGGCCACAUUGGGACUGAGACACGGCCCAA